RNAcentral lists this ribosomal RNA (497 nucleotides) under uncultured bacterium. Its description in RNAcentral is "partial 16S ribosomal RNA". It matches the Rfam family "Bacterial small subunit ribosomal RNA", at positions 28 to 507 of the family's 1533-position model. The record is from RNAcentral.
GAUGAACGCUGGCGGCGUGCCUAAUACAUGCAAGUCGAGCGAACAGACGAGGAGCUUGCUCCUCUGACGUUAGCGGCGGACGGGUGAGUAACACGUGGAUAACCUACCUAUAAGACUGGGAUAACUUCGGGAAACCGGAGCUAAUACCGGAUAACAUGUUGAACCGCAUGGUUCAACAGUGAAAGGCGGUUUUGCUGUCACUUAUAGAUGGAUCCGCGUCGCAUUAGUUAGUUGGUAAGGUAACGGCUUACCAAGGCAACGAUGCGUAGCCGACCUGAGAGGGUGAUCGGCCACACUGGAACUGAGACACGGUCCAGACUCCUACGGGAGGCAGCAGUAGGGAAUCUUCCGCAAUGGGCGAAAGCCUGACGGAGCAACGCCGCGUGAGUGAAGAAGGUCUUCGGAUCGUAAAACUCUGUUAUUAGGGAAGAACAAAUGUGUAAGUAACUAUGCACGUCUUGACGGUACCUAAUCAGAAAGCCACGGCUAACUACGUG